AACGAACGCUGGCGGCAUGCCUAACACAUGCAAGUCGAACGAGAUCUUCGGGUCUAGUGGCGCACGGGUGCGUAACGCGUGGGAAUCUGCCCUUUGGUUCGGAAUAACAGUUGGAAACGACUGCUAAUACCAGAUGAUGACGAAAGUCCAAAGAUUUAUCGCCAGAGGAUGAGCCCGCGUAGGAUUAGCUAGUUGGUGUGGUAAAGGCGCACCAAGGCGACGAUCCUUAGCUGGUCUGAGAGGAUGAUCAGCCACACUGGGACUGAGACACGGCCCAGACUCCUCCGGGGGGCAGCAGUGGGGAAUAUUGGACAAGGGGCGAAGGCCUGAUCCAGCAUGGCCGCGGGGGUGAUGAAGGCCUUAGGGUUGUAAAGCUCUUUUACCCGGGAUGAAAAUGACAGUACCGGAAGAAUAAGCUCCGGCUAACUCCGUGCCAGCAGCCGCGGUAA
RNAcentral lists this ribosomal RNA (449 nucleotides) under uncultured bacterium. RNAcentral describes it as "partial 16S ribosomal RNA". It matches the Rfam family "Bacterial small subunit ribosomal RNA", at positions 29 to 523 of the family's 1533-position model. The record is from RNAcentral.